This 30-nucleotide non-coding RNA is filed under the name Cricetulus griseus (Chinese hamster). The record is from RNAcentral. Lineage: Eukaryota; Metazoa; Chordata; Mammalia; Rodentia; Cricetidae.
GAGGAAACUGUAGGGGGUUUUCUCGAUUGU